Molecule: ribosomal RNA, 218 nt
Filed under: Micropygomyia atroclavata
Lineage: Eukaryota; Metazoa; Arthropoda; Insecta; Diptera; Psychodidae
Description: partial 16S ribosomal RNA
Source: RNAcentral
GAUCUUUAUAUAUUAUAAAUUUUAAUAAAAGAAAGAUAAAUAUUUUUAUAAAAAUUUAUUUAUAUUAUAUUGGGGUAAUAAUAAAAUUUUAUAAAUUUUUAUUUUUUAAAAACAAUUUAAUUGAAUUAUUGAUCCAUUAUUAUUGAUUAAAAAAUUAAGUUACCUUAGGGAUAACAGCAUAAUGAUUUUUAAGAGUUCUUAUCAAUAAAAUAGUUUGU